Acanthosepion pharaonis is the source of this 85-nucleotide non-coding RNA. NCBI's taxonomy places the organism in Eukaryota, Metazoa, Mollusca, Cephalopoda, Sepiida, Sepiidae. The record is from the annotation of a GenBank genome assembly.
ACUUCCCAUACGAUCACAGAAAUUAAGCAACGUCGAGACUGGUCAGUACCUAGAUGGGUGACCGCUUUGGAAUACCAGGUGCUAU